This 1510-nucleotide long non-coding RNA is filed under the name Scleropages formosus (Asian bonytongue). RNAcentral's name for it is "lncRNA (ENSSFOG00015029445.1)". Lineage: Eukaryota; Metazoa; Chordata; Actinopteri; Osteoglossiformes; Osteoglossidae. The record is from RNAcentral.
AUGCACGAAAGGCUCUGCCAGGGUCAGGGGCAUACAGCAGAAGCCUGCAAAAACAUGAAAUAUAGCAACUGCUUAGAGACCGGACAUUUCACCAGAGAAUGCAAGGGCUGCCGCUGCUGCAACAUUUGCAGCAGGGAAGACCACCUGGCCCAUCUUUGUCUGCAGUGCAGACCCUCAUAUGCAGAUGUCCUGUCUGGAAGUGGGGUAUCUGUGGAGCAGGUUCUUCAGGCACUAACAUUGGUGGAUAACAAAACUGAUGUGAUGGAGACGGUAGUGGAAAUGGCGGUGGGGGCUGGAGAAGCCCUUGGCGAAGUCAGUGAUGUCCUGGGUGCAAGCCCUGCCCCUACCCUGGCGGAGAUUCAAAAGCAGAAAAAAGAAGACUCAACUCCAAAGAAAAAGUCUGGAAGGAAGGCUGCGGCACCCUGGAGGAGAUGGACGCCCUGUGGGCCCUGUGUGGCUCCCGUCGAUGUCGCUGAGUCAGCGGUCGUCGUACGAGGGGAGGACGGGUGACGCCCAACUCAGAGGAGUAUCUGCCAGACGGGGCUCUAGUGGGGUGGUGGUGUCCUCUGGGGGAGGAGGUCUUAAUGGAUUGAAAAGGGGCAGGUUUUUAAUCUCAUUUUAGUGUUAUUGUAUUGUUUUAUUUGGUGUUUUAGCAACGUACCCCAAUGGCUGAUUUUAAAAUUUUAACUCUUAACGUCAGGGGGUUAAAAAACAAAGUAAAAAGAACUGCUUUGUUUAACCAAUUUGAGUCCUAUUGCCUUCAACUUAUGUUUUUUGCAGGAAGUCCACCUCCGGGACCAGCGGGACGUGACUCUCUUCUCUCAAGAAUGGAGAAGGGUGAGUCCUACUGGAGUGUAGGUGGUGUCCAGUCUGCAGGCGUGGGAAUACUUUUUGGGGACCGCACCUUUGAGAAGGUAAGGCCUUUUAUUGUUCAGCCCGGCUGAGUGUUGGGGUUGGACAUCACGUGGAGAAGUUUGCACUUAUGUGUUCUGUGCCUCUACACUCCGGUAGAGGUCAAGUCCCGCGUCGCUCUGUUUGACGAGUUGGUCCCUCAUUGUGUGACCGAUAGACAUUUAAUAAUAGGAGGAGACUUCAAUAUUUUUCUUGGUGGCAAGGACAACGCUAGUAUUAAACAUUUUAAAAAACUUUAUUAGCAGUUUUAACCUCACUGACGGUUUUAGGAAAUGCGCCAGGUAAUACCCGGAUUGGUGGGGUUGCAUCAGCCGCGGUGCCUGUAGUCGUUUAGAUUACAUUUUAGCAUUGCCCUCCGUAACUUUUAAGAAGGUUCUCUUAACUGCCCAGUGGCCCACGGACCAUAUGAUGGUCAAGGCCAUGAUUUCCAUCUUGGCCCCGUCCCGUGGCCGGGGCUACUGGAAGAUGAAUGUUUAAGUUCUCCAAGAAAAGGAGUUUAGAGACCUUUUUUAUGAGAAUUUUUCAUUGUGGCAGGAUUCCAUGGAUUUUUACCCCUCGGCAGCUGAUUGGUGGGAGGGGGUCAAGGUGAAGGCCAAGA